UGGCUAAGAUCAAGUGUAGUAUCUGU
Molecule: non-coding RNA, 26 nt
Filed under: Drosophila erecta
Lineage: Eukaryota; Metazoa; Arthropoda; Insecta; Diptera; Drosophilidae
Also listed under: 5 other names
Source: RNAcentral